CCCAAACCAAUAAAGUUUUCUUUAUUGGGGUUGCGGACAUAUCAUAACGAAGAGGUAUCGUAAUUGAAGAGGUUUGGAAAGACCCACCACAGAAGGUAAUAGUCCUGUAUGUUAAACGAGAAGACUUUAGAUAUGAUCCAGAGUACCACGGGACACGUGAAACCCUGUGGGAAGCAGGAGGGACCACCCUCCAAGGCUAAAUACUACCUAGUGACCGAUAGCGUAUAGUACCGUGAGGGAAAGGUGAAAAGAACCCCGGGAGGGGAGUGAAAUAGAACCUGAAACCCUGUACUUACAAGCUGUGGAAGCACAUUUCUUGUGUGACCGCGUACUUUUUGUAGAACGGGCCAACGAGUUACGUUAAGUAGCAAGGUUAAGCACUUAAGGUGUGGAGCCGUAGCGAAAGCGAGUUUUAACUGAGCGUUCAGUUACUUGACGUAGACCCGAAACCGGGCGACCUACCCAUGAGCAGGAUGAAGCGAAAGUAAAAUUUCGUGGAGGUCCGAACCCACGAGCGUUGAAAAGCUCGGGGAUGACUUGUGGGUAGCGGUGAAAUUCCAAUCGAGCCCGGAGAUAGCUGGUUCU
This 585-nucleotide ribosomal RNA is filed under the name Clostridioides difficile. Its description in RNAcentral is "bacterial LSU rRNA". It matches the Rfam family "Bacterial large subunit ribosomal RNA", at positions 268 to 856 of the family's 2925-position model. Lineage: Bacteria; Bacillati; Bacillota; Clostridia; Peptostreptococcales; Peptostreptococcaceae. The record is from RNAcentral.